GAUUUAACCUUAUUAUAGACACUGAUAAGACAAACAUUAAAACCACUAACAGGAGAAUGUGAAUAACAUUGAUUACAUUGUUACAAUAGAACCCAUCAAGGCAUGAGAUUAAAUUAGGCCUCAAGUGCUUUGUCACUUUUUGAAUUUGUGCUGGAAGCAGGACAAAUGACCAAGAAAAAGAUCUAGUGACUUUGACAAGGGCCAAAGAAGACCGGGUUAGAGCAUCUCCAAAAUGGGGUAUUCCCGGUAAGCCGUGGUUAGUACCUACCAAAAGUGGUGCAAAGGAGGACAACUGGUGAAGCAGAGCCAGGGUCAUCAGUGCCCAAUGUUCAUUGCAGCACCAUGUGGAGUGAAUGCUAGCCUGUCUAGUCCGAUAACAC
Pelobates cultripes (western spadefoot toad) is the source of this 380-nucleotide non-coding RNA. NCBI's taxonomy places the organism in Eukaryota, Metazoa, Chordata, Amphibia, Anura, Pelobatidae. The record is from the annotation of a GenBank genome assembly.